UUCCCCUACGGGGCGCAGCAGUGAGGAAUAUUGGUCAAUGGACGAGAGUCUGAACCAGCCAAGUAGCGUGAAGGAUGACUGCCCUAUGGGUUGUAAACUUCUUUUAUAUGGGAAUAAAAUGUUCCACGUGUGGGAUUUUGUAUGUACCAUAUGAAUAAGGAUCGGCUAACUCCGUGCCAGCAGCCGCGGUAAUACGGAGGAUGCGAGCGUUAUCCGGAUUUAUUGGGUUUAAAGGGUGCGUAGGCGGGCUGUUAAGUCAGCGGUAAAAGCCCGGGGCUCAACCCCGGCGAGCCGUUGAAACUGGC
This 305-nucleotide ribosomal RNA is filed under the name uncultured bacterium. Its description in RNAcentral is "bacterial SSU rRNA". It matches the Rfam family "Bacterial small subunit ribosomal RNA", at positions 334 to 637 of the family's 1533-position model. The record is from RNAcentral.